CCCGGCCUGGUCACUGGGAGAAGCCAGUGACCCGGCUAGCUGCAAGCGUGCGUGAAAUGUUAACGCACGCUUCAUACAGAACGAUGUAAUUAUAAUUCACAUCGACAGUACCAAAUUAAUUAUAUUGCAAAGGAAGAGCAGCAGGGACUUUCCUGGUUACCGUUGGAGACGAAGACGAAGUGAGAGCGAUCGUUUCUGGCUGAUCGGAUGACACUUCUAUGAUGAAUGCAAAAGCCUUCUCCUCUGUUACUGCUCGUCUUGGUCUCUUCGUCCUUCUGAACAAUGCUGAGAGCUUCACUUGAGAUGCUCUGUCUCCUGUUCUUCGUCUUGUCUCUGUGUUAUUCGUUCUUCUCUUUUUGUUCUGUCUGUGUUUGCUUGUUCCUCUGGUUUCCUCUCUGUUUUCUUUUGUGUUUUGCUUCCCUGUUUCUGUGGUUCGUCUAUCUAUUUCUCUCUGUUCGUUUUUUUCUUGUUCGUGUCUUUUUCCUCUGGCUGUUAAUCAACAGGAUCGUGGGCAGGAGACGUGGUCUGGGUUUGGUGCCAUUUCUUCCUGCAAAUGAAGCCGUGAACAGUCCUGCUCUUGCAGGACUGUUAAUCGAUCUGGAAACGAGAUCGUGGGCAGGAGACGUGGUCCGGUUUUGGUGCCAUUUCUUCCUGUUGCAUCGGUCUCCUGAGGAAGGUGAUGAACAGUAGAAACGGCGGUGGUUUUAUUGAAAUGGCUAUCUUCAAUUUACCCCCUUAACUUCUGAUAUUUAACAAUUGGGUCCCUUAUUUCAUUAAUUAAACAAUUUCAAGUUCAAUUGAGUCCCCAAACUUCCAAUUCUUCCAAUUUUUGACCAAAUUAACUCCAAAUUUAUAAUUCAAUCCUUAGUAGUCCCCAAACUUUAAACUUUCAAUUUGUGUUUUCUUAACACAAUCUUCAAUUCAUUCAUUUUUUAUUUCUUUUUGUUUUUUGAAAAAUUUAAAAAUUAAAUUAUGAGAAUGGUAGUUGGGGUCGACUAGCAGGUGACAAAGAAGCCCACAACAGACGUGGAGUUGGCAACCUAAGGAAAGAAAUUGAUGGGUUUGCAAUGCAAAUUGAACAGUCAGAAAGAAGGAUUAACUGACCCUAAUGUUCCUCAGGAUUUUAUCAUGUCCCAAGUUUAAGCCAGAGCUCAGAACCUAUCAUCAGAAAAAUAAAAAAUUACAAACUCACAUUUAAGCUGAAAACUCAAAAAAAAAAAAAAAUUAUUGACAAGAACCACUGUGCACCUCAUUUUACCCUUGAUUGGGACUCGAAAAAAAAAAAACUCAGAACCUAUCAUCAGAAUUCUUUUAAGAUAAGAGUACUGAUAAAAGAAGCACACCAGACUGUGAGUGCAAGGAGAAAAUUCAUUACAACGCAUCAUCAAGGUGGUUCAAACUCAC
Molecule: long non-coding RNA, 1404 nt
Filed under: Populus trichocarpa (black cottonwood)
Lineage: Eukaryota; Viridiplantae; Streptophyta; Magnoliopsida; Malpighiales; Salicaceae
Description: long non-coding RNA (PTRI_LNC000070)
Source: RNAcentral